RNAcentral lists this transfer RNA (69 nucleotides) under Heterocephalus glaber (naked mole-rat). It matches the Rfam family "tRNA". From Rfam's summary of the family: Transfer RNA (tRNA) molecules are approximately 80 nucleotides in length. Their secondary structure includes four short double-helical elements and three loops (D, anti-codon, and T loops). Lineage: Eukaryota; Metazoa; Chordata; Mammalia; Rodentia; Bathyergidae. The record is from Rfam by way of RNAcentral.
GGGGAUGUAGCUCAGCGGUACAGCGCCUGUCUGGCAAGCACGAGGUCCUGAGUUCAAUCCUCAGUACCA